AAAGUACUCCCUCCGUCCCAAAAUUCUUGUCUUAGAUUUGUCUAGAUACGGAUGUAUCAUGUCACAUUUUAGUAUUAGAUACAUCCGUAUCUAGACAAAUCUAAGACAAGAAAUUUGGGACAGAGGGAGUAGUUG
This is a non-coding RNA of Triticum aestivum (bread wheat), 135 nucleotides long. The record is from Rfam. NCBI's taxonomy places the organism in Eukaryota, Viridiplantae, Streptophyta, Magnoliopsida, Poales, Poaceae.